UUGAUAUUGGUGUUCGGUUCGGCUUGUGUAGGAUAGGUGGGAGACUUUGAAGCGGCCACGCCAGUGGUUGUGGAGUCGUCGUUGAAAUACCACUCUGGUCGUGCUGGAUGUCUAACCUGGGUCCGUGAUCCGGAUCAGGGACAGUGUCUGAUGGGUAGUUUAACUGGGGCGGUUGCCUCCUAAAGAGUAACGGAGGCGCCCAAAGGUUCCCUCAGCCUGGUUGGCAAUCAGGUGUUGAGUGUAAGUGCACAAGGGAGCUUGACUGUGAGACCGACGGGUCGAGCAGGGACGAAAGUCGGGACUAGUGAUCCGGCAGUGGCUUGUGGAAGCGCUGUCGCUCAACGGAUAAAAGGUACCCCGGGGAUAACAGGCUGAUCUUCCCCAAGAGUCCAUAUCGACGGGAUGGUUUGGCACCUCGAUGUCGGCUCGUCGCAUCCUGGGGCUGGAGUCGGUCCCAAGGGUUGGGCUGUUCGCCCAUUAAAGCGGUACGCGAGCUGGGUUUAGAACGUCGUGAGACAGUUCGGUCCCUAUCCGCUGUGCGCGUAGGAAUAUUGAGAAGGGCUGUCCCUAGUACGAGAGGACCGGGACGGACGAACCUCUGGUGUGCCAGUUGUCCUGCCAAGGGCAUGGCUGGUUGGCUACGUUCGGAAAGGAUAACCGCUGAAAGCAUCUAAGCGGGAAGCCUGCUUCGAGAUGAGUAUUCCCACCCUCUUGAAGGGUUAAGGCUCCCAGUAGACGACUGGGUUGAUAGGCCAGAUGUGGAAGCCCUGUAAGGGGUGGAGCUGACUGGUACUAAUAGGCCGAGGGCUUGUCCUCAGUUG
Molecule: ribosomal RNA, 821 nt
Filed under: Streptomyces anulatus
Lineage: Bacteria; Bacillati; Actinomycetota; Actinomycetes; Kitasatosporales; Streptomycetaceae
Description: partial 23S ribosomal RNA
Rfam family: Bacterial large subunit ribosomal RNA
Source: RNAcentral